CUUAUUAGUAUAAAUUUUAUUAUAUUUAGUUUCCACCUAAAAGAUCUAAGGAUAAGAUAA
This 60-nucleotide transfer RNA is filed under the name Trioza frangulae. RNAcentral's name for it is "tRNA-Gly". The record is from RNAcentral. Lineage: Eukaryota; Metazoa; Arthropoda; Insecta; Hemiptera; Triozidae.